UACAAAAUAGUUUAAAUUAAAAUAUAAACUUUGGAGGUUUAAGAUUUUUAUUUUUGUAA
RNAcentral lists this transfer RNA (59 nucleotides) under Chordodes sp. VVA-2019. RNAcentral's name for it is "tRNA-Pro". Lineage: Eukaryota; Metazoa; Nematomorpha; Gordioida; Chordodea; Chordodidae. The record is from RNAcentral.